This 497-nucleotide ribosomal RNA is filed under the name uncultured bacterium. RNAcentral describes it as "partial 16S ribosomal RNA". It matches the Rfam family "Bacterial small subunit ribosomal RNA", at positions 28 to 507 of the family's 1533-position model. The record is from RNAcentral.
GACGAACGCUGGCGGCGUGCCUAAUACAUGCAAGUUGAGCGCUGAAGGUUGGUACUUGUACCAACUGGAUGAGCAGCGAACGGGUGAGUAACGCGUGGGGAAUCUGCCUUUGAGCGGGGGACAACAUUUGGAAACGAAUGCUAAUACCGCAUAAAAACUUUAAACACAAGUUUUAAGUUUGAAAGAUGCAAUUGCAUCACUCAAAGAUGAUCCCGCGUUGUAUUAGCUAGUUGGUGAGGUAAAGGCUCACCAAGGCGAUGAUACAUAGCCGACCUGAGAGGGUGGUCGGCCACAUUGGGACUGAGACACGGCACAAACGCCUACGGGAGGCAGCAGUAGGGAAUCUUCGGCAAGGGACGAAAGUCUGACCGAGCAACGCCGCGGGAGUGAAGAAGGUUUUCGGAUCGUAAAACUCUGUUGGUAGAGAAGAACGUUGGUGAGAGUGGAAAGCUCAUCAAGUGACGGUAACUACCCAGAAAGGGACGGCUAACUACGUG